AUUGAACGCUGGCGGCAUGCCUAACACAUGCAAGUCGAACGGCAGCACGGGGGCUUGUACCUGGUGGCGAGGGCGAACGGGGGAGUAAUCCAUCGGAACAUGUCCUGUAGUGGGGGAUAGCUCGGCGAAAGGCGGAUUAUUACCGCAUACGAUAUACGGAGGAAAGGGGGGGACCUUCGGGCCUCGCGCUAUAGGGUUGGCUGAUGGCUGAUUAGCUAGUUGGUGGGGUACAGGCCUACCAAGGCGACGAGCAGUAGCUGGUCUGAGAGGACGACCAGCCACACUGGGACUGAGACACGGCCCAGACUCCUACGGGAGGCAGCAGUGGGGAAUUUUGGACAAUGGGCGAAAGCCUGAUCCAGCAAUGCCGCGUGUGUGAAGAAGGCCUUCGGGUUGUAAAGCACUUUUGUCCGGAAAGAAAUCCAUGACUCUAAUACAGUCGGGGGAUGACGGUACCGGAAGAAUAAGCACCGGCUAACUACGUG
RNAcentral lists this ribosomal RNA (485 nucleotides) under uncultured bacterium. RNAcentral's name for it is "partial 16S ribosomal RNA". It matches the Rfam family "Bacterial small subunit ribosomal RNA", at positions 29 to 507 of the family's 1533-position model. The record is from RNAcentral.